GAGCCACAGCUCAGUGGUAGAGCAUCUGCUUUGCAUGCAGAAGGUCCCGGGUUCAAUCCCUGACAUCUUCA
Molecule: non-coding RNA, 71 nt
Organism: Podarcis lilfordi (Lilford's wall lizard)
Lineage: Eukaryota; Metazoa; Chordata; Lepidosauria; Squamata; Lacertidae
Source: the annotation of a GenBank genome assembly